This 384-nucleotide ribosomal RNA is filed under the name uncultured bacterium. RNAcentral describes it as "bacterial SSU rRNA". It matches the Rfam family "Archaeal small subunit ribosomal RNA", at positions 339 to 727 of the family's 1478-position model. The record is from RNAcentral.
GCGCGAAAACUUUACAAUGCGGGCAACCGUGAUAAGGAAACCCCGAGUGCCAGCAUAGGUUGGCUGUCCGCCAGUGUAAAAAACUGGUGAAGAAAGGGCCGGGCAAGACCGGUGCCAGCCGCCGCGGUAAUACCGGCGGCUCGAGUGGUGGCCGCUAUUACUGGGCUUAAAGGGUCCGUAGCUUGAGGAUUGGGUCCCUUGAGAAAUCCACCGGCUUAACUGGUGGGCGUUCAGGGGAAACUGGUCUUCUAGGGACCGGGAGAGGUGAGAGGUACUGCCGGGGUAGGAGUGAAAUCCUGUAAUCCCGGUGGGACCACCUAUGGCGAAGGCAUCUCACCAGAACGGCUCCGACAGUGAGGGACGAAAGCUGGGGGAGCAAACCGG